Molecule: ribosomal RNA, 898 nt
Filed under: uncultured bacterium
Lineage: Bacteria
Description: bacterial SSU rRNA
Rfam family: Bacterial small subunit ribosomal RNA
Source: RNAcentral
AGAGUUUGAUCAGGGCUCAGAUUGAACGCUGGCGGCAGGCUUAACACAUGCAAGUCGAGCGGCAGCGGAAAGAAGCUUGCUUCUUUGCCGGCGAGCGGCGGACGGGUGAGUAAUGUCUGGGGAUCUGCCCGAUGGAGGGGGAUAACUACUGGAAACGGUAGCUAAUACCGCAUAAUGUCGCAAGACCAAAGUGGGGGACCUUCGGGCCUCACACCAUCGGAUGAACCCAGAUGGGAUUAGCUAGUAGGUGGGGUAAUGGCUCACCUAGGCGACGAUCCCUAGCUGGUCUGAGAGGAUGACCAGCCACACUGGAACUGAGACACGGUCCAGACUCCUACGGGAGGCAGCAGUGGGGAAUAUUGCACAAUAGGGGAAACCCUGAUGCAGCCAUGCCGCGUGUGUGAAGAAGGCCUUCGGGUUGUAAAGCACUUUCAGCGGGGAGGAAGGCAAUGGCGUUAAUAGUGUCAUUGAUUGACGUUACCCGCAGAAGAAGCACCGGCUAACUCCGUGCCAGCAGCCGCGGUAAUACGGAGGGUGCGAGCGUUAAUCGGAAUUACUGGGCGUAAAGCGUACGCAGGCGGUCUGUUAAGUCAGAUGUGAAAUCCCCGGGCUUAACCUGGGAACUGCAUUUGAAACUGGCAGGCUAGAGUCUCGUAGAGGGGGGUAGAAUUCCAGGUGUAGCGGUGAAAUGCGUAGAGAUCUGGAGGAAUACCGGUGGCGAAGGCGGCCCCCUGGACGAAGACUGACGCUCAGGUACGAAAGCGUGGGGAGCAAACAGGAUUAGAUACCCUGGUAGUCCACGCUGUAAACGAUGUCGAUUUGAAGGUUGUGGUCUUGAGCCGUGGCUUUCGGAGCUAACGCGUUAAAUCGACCGCCUGGGGAGUACGGCCGCAAGGUU